UAUUGGAGAGAGGGCUUUUAGGAGGUAAUUAAAAAUAAAUUAGGUCCUAAGGGUGGGACCCUGACCCAAGAAGAUUGGUGGCCUUAUAAGUAGAGGAAAAGAGAGAGAUUUUUUUCUCACUCUCUGCCACAUGAGGGCAUAAGGAGAAGGCAGCUAUCUGCAAGCUAGGAAAAGAGCUCUUACCAGGAACAAAGUAGGCUUAUAUCUUCAUCUUAACUUCAAUUUCUCUAGAGCUUAAAGAAGUAAAUUCCUGUGGUUUCAGCCAUUCGUCCAUGCUCAGUAGUUGUAUACUUGUUACCUGGGAAUGUGUUAAUAGACUCAAGCAAUGAAAGCAUAUCUGGUGAAGUUCCUGCAAUUUGGAGUCACCACUUGGUUACGCUUGUGAUAGUCAACUGUCAUUCUCCAAGAUCCACGUGUUCUCUGUGCAGACCUAAAAAGGACUCAGCUGGACUCCACAAGUUCUUUCAUUUUAGAACUCAGGCUGAAGAAACAUCUGAUCUCUGGACAUAAUAUUGUUAUAAAAGAGAGCUCAAGAGGGGCAAGCAUAAGGUGAUGAACUUGGACUGCAUACAAAGCUCUUUUUAAAAGAUUCUGUUGUUGAAGGCUGUUUUUAUGGACAAUAUCAGAAUUGAUGAGGUGGGAAUAUCCAUUGUUUUUAAUCUGCUGGAAUGCAUCAGAGUCACAUAGCAAAGGGCAAGGACAUAUAAUACUAUUAUCAAUAUAUAAUAAGACUUGUAAAUAAUAAUCAAAUCUAUGACAAUGUCAUUAAAGAAAAGUGUUGCACUUAGAUCAAUAACAUCAUAACUAGGAAGCAAGUCUUUUCCAAUUCAUCCUGGCUUCUCUUUUGAAAAAAGUUUUUCACAUUAAUAUAUGGUGGAAGCAUGAACAUUAUGAUUAGCAUGGAUAAUUUUUCAUACACUCCAAAAUAAUUUUGCCUGGAUUAUAAAAUCUGAAUCAAAGGCACAUAAUAAAAUUAUUAUUAUAUUUUCAAUUUCUAUUGCAUUUAUAUUGUUUUGGGCUUCCUUACAUGCUUAAUUUGCAUGUUCUUAUUAAUUGGCCUAAGGGAUUACUUUUAUUAUCUCCAUUUUAAAGAAGAGAAACAGGAAACAUAAGUCUACCCAAGUAUGUUUGACUACAUAGGAAAUAACACAAUGAGAAAUCAAC
This is a non-coding RNA of Odocoileus virginianus texanus, 1164 nucleotides long. NCBI's taxonomy places the organism in Eukaryota, Metazoa, Chordata, Mammalia, Artiodactyla, Cervidae. The record is from RefSeq and is a predicted model, not a curated record.